GUUGGAGUCCUUGUUCUUUGGCAAUUCAGGGUGACAAAGGGAUCCAAAUAGUUGUUAUAGGAGAGGUGGAGGUAACAUCUGAAGUGAUCCACAUACAUAAUAUUCGUGUUGGGAGUGGUUUUCGUCGUGUCAAGAUCCUUGAAGAAAUAGUGUCGUCUGCAGAAUUACCAUGUCCAACCGAAGAAUUUAAAUUUGUAUGUCAAGCUAUGAAAAGUUUUGUUCCGUGGCCUAUUCACUUGAUCUUUCCAAAGGCAGAGGUACAAAAUUUUAUUAUAUUUCGAAUAAUAGUUCACUCAUACUUUACCAUUGUAAUAAAUUUUGUUUUUUUGCUUUUGUAUUAAGGGUGAUAAACAACAAUGUCAAGGGGAUAAAUCAUUAAUGAGUAUGAGAUAAAUCUGAUUGAAUAACAUAAAAAUCUCACAUAUGAAUAUUAUGUUGGAAUUUGAUAAAAAUAAUAAUAAGGAUAUAGAGACAGUAGUUUUAUAUGUAUAAACAGAGAAGAUACAUAAAGACUACAUU
Molecule: long non-coding RNA, 519 nt
Filed under: Daucus carota (carrot)
Lineage: Eukaryota; Viridiplantae; Streptophyta; Magnoliopsida; Apiales; Apiaceae
Description: long non-coding RNA (DCAR_LNC006853)
Source: RNAcentral